This is an RNA transcript of Cyanidioschyzon merolae strain 10D, 1764 nucleotides long. RefSeq lists it as hypothetical. NCBI's taxonomy places the organism in Eukaryota, Rhodophyta, Bangiophyceae, Cyanidiales, Cyanidiaceae. The record is from RefSeq and is a predicted model, not a curated record. The transcript has a single exon.
AAUCGCCGCUGCGUGCUAUGGAAUGCUUUUUCGUGGUUUAUGGCGGAUGCGUUCAAAGUGAGUUUCUUUGAAGAAAUGAAAAAUUCACGGGGAAGUGCGUGGACAUGGAAAUCGGGGGUUCUGGCGGGCCGUCAUCACUGAGUUCUACGAAAACGAUAAGAAUCCUCUUCUCGCCGACCAUCGAACGAAGAAGCGCAAGUGACGACGAAGAAGAGGCGAGGUAGGCAAGAAAAGGUGUUUGCCCGACGGGACGAUGACGAGUGUGUCGUGGUACGGGGCCACGAGUUCGAUGAAUCCUUACAUUGGAGUGUGUGUGUGUGUGUGCAGUCAACGGCAAUGCACGAAAGGAGUUCGUGAACCGAGCCCUCAAUAUCAUGCGCUGCGCUGUCAAGACUCCGCACUUUUUUAUAUCGUCAGGACUGAUCUGGCACUUUUCCAUCUCGAGCGUCUGAAGUGUACACCCCAGCUCGUGGUCUAUGCAGGACGUCCGGAACUCGUCUAUCGGGAAUGUGACAAAACGCCUUGCGCACUCCUUGUAAGCGCGUGUCGGUGAGGCUGGAGUGCACCCUGUUUUCGACGCCCAGCGCCCUGCUCCCUAUGCUGCUACGAGGCUUUGACGCUUGUCCUCCUUGAGGGUGCUCAGCGCAUGAAAAAAGUUCCCAAAUGCACGCCAUUCCGCACAGUACAAGUUCAUAUGCGGACGAUGGCAUGGACAUUGGCUUUUGAACGCUCUCUCCGCCGCUGCUUCCAUUGCCGCUCUCUUAGCCCCGAGUGAACAUGUGCCGGUCUCUCUUGUCCUUGCAGUUCCCGAGUCAGCAGUCGAGGGAUGUCGGUGGCAGCGUUCAAGUUCCGAUUUCGCCACUUCCCGCCCGUGGUAACGCGUCCCGCGCGUAGGGCCAAGUUGCGGUCCGCACGUCGUUCCCCACGUUCAUCUUCUGUGCACAUACAGCUUCGGUGUGUCUUUCGCUGCGCUGACACCGGACUGUGAUCAGACGUUCGCAUAUUCGUCUGCCGCAUCUCUCACGCGACCGAGCGCCGCCCUGUGGCAUGCGAAGGCUUGCUUCAGCGCUCGAUGCAUGUCCGGGACUGGCGUAGAAGGCGCUCGUCGAAUCCAUUCUUUGUCUGCAUACCCGAUGCCGUGACGAACGAUGACGGGCUGGUUCCGGGCGAUUCCCUUUGCGAGUGCGCUGUAUGGUGCAAAAGCAAGCAUACGCAGUCCCGUUUGAGAAGGGAUUCGUGGAAUGCGAUAUUGGCCUUGGUGAGGCAGGCACCGGAAUGAUAACACUCAUAGGAGAACCAGUCGAGUGAUUUCGAUCCGUCCACGCUGUUCUACAGCGAAGCGGCGAUCCAGUCUGCACCAGAGGCGAUCGCUGCGACGACUAUAGUCAAGGACUUCAUUCCAUGCAACCAGAAGAGGCGAGUGCAUCUGGGCGCGAAUCCCCGUGUAACGUACGAUGCAGCUGUCGAAUUCCCUGUCUCGCGGAUGACCACAGGGACACAAGGAUUUGUCUUUCGAAAGGAUUCGAUCAUUUGAUACGAGAAGCACGAUGAGGCUUGGGCGUGAGCGUGUGAACACGUCGUCAAGGAGCGACGUCGGGCUCCGUGCCGCGCCAGUCCAGUGGCGAGCAUUGCUGUGCCCACGGGUUGCCUUGAAACAGAAAGAUCGAAAACAUGAAGCAUGCAUGAUUUGCGCAUGCUAUACACAAGGAACGCGAUAGCGGUAGAGGCUUGUGCCUACAAAUUGGUUCAUAAAAUCGGCUAUUU